RNAcentral lists this ribosomal RNA (256 nucleotides) under uncultured bacterium. RNAcentral's name for it is "partial 16S ribosomal RNA". It matches the Rfam family "Bacterial small subunit ribosomal RNA", at positions 9 to 248 of the family's 1533-position model. The record is from RNAcentral.
GAGUUUGAUCGUGGCUCAGGACGAACGCUGGCGGCGUGCUUAACACAUGCAAGUCGAACGAGGAUCUGUGGAAAGAGGAUUCGUCCAAUUGAAGCAGAGGACAGUGGCGGACGGGUGAGUAACGCGUGAGGAACCUGCCUUUCAGAGGGGGACAACAGUUGGAAACGACUGCUAAUACCGCAUAACAUAUAGAUGUCGCAUGGCAUUUAUAUCAAAGAUUUAUCGCUGAAAGAUGGCCUCGCGUCUGAUUAGCUAG